CAGUAACACGGGGGGUAACCUGCCCUUAGGACGGGAUCACCCCCCGGAAACUGGGGCUAAUCCCCGAUAGGUAAAGAACUCUGGAAUGAGUCUUUGCCCAAAGGCCGUUAGAGCAUGCUUCUGGCGGUGCCUAAGGAUGGGGCCGCGACCGAUCAGGUUGUUGGUGAGGUAAUGGCCCACCAAGCCUAUAACCGGUGCGGGCCGUGAGAGCGGGAGCCCGGAGAUGGGCACUGAGACAAGGGCCCAGGUCCUACGGGGCGCAGCAGUCGCGAAAACUUUGCAAUACACGAAAGUGUGACAGGGUCAUCCCGAGUGCCGACCGCUGAGGUUGGCUUUUACCCAGUCUAGAAAGCUGGGGGAAUAAGGAGAGGGCAAGUCUGGUGUCAGCCGCCGCGGUAAUACCAGCUCUCCGAGUGGUGUGGACGUUUAUUGGGCCUAAAGCAUCCGUAGCUGGCCAAACAAGUCCCCUGUUAAACCCACCGAUUUAAUCGUUGGCGUGCGGGGGAUACUGCUCGGCUAGGGGACGAGAGAGGCAGACGGUAUUCCCGGGGUAGGGGUGAAAUCUUGUAAUCCUUGAAGGACCACCAGUGGCGAAGGCGUCUCACCAGAACGGACCUGACGGCAAGGGACGAAAGCUAGGGGCACGAACCGGAUUAGAUACCCGGGUAGUCCUAGCCGUAAACGAUACUCGCUAGGUGUCGGCCACGGUGCGACCGUUGUCGGUGCCGUAGGGAAGCCGUGAAGCGAGCCACCUGGGAAGUACGGCCGCAAGGCUGAAACUUAAAGGAAUUGGCGGGGGAGCACCACAACGGGUGGAGCUUGCGGUUUAAUUGGAUUCAACGCCGGAAAUCUUACCGGGACCGACAGCAAUAUGAAGGCCAGGCUGAAGACUUUGCCGGAUUAGCUGAGAGGUGGUGCAUGGCCGUCGUCAGUUCGUACUGUGAAGCAUCCUGUUAAGUCAGGCAACGAGCGAGACCCACGCCCACAGUUGCCAGCGUACUCUCUGGAGUGACGGGUACACUGUGGGGACCGCCGCUGCUAAAGCGGAGGAAGGAAUGGGCAACGGUAGGUCAGUAUGCCCCGAAUAUCCCGGGCUACACGCGAGCUACAAUGGUUGGUACAAUGGGUAUCUACCCCGAAAGGGGACGGGAAUCUCCUAAAACCAAUCUUAGUUCGGAUUGAGGGCUGCAACUCGCCCUCAUGAAGCUGGAAUCCGUAGUAAUCGCGUUUCAACAGAACGCGGUGAUACGUCCCGGCCCUUUUGGCCACCC
Molecule: ribosomal RNA, 1271 nt
Filed under: uncultured crenarchaeote
Lineage: Archaea; Thermoproteati; Thermoproteota
Description: partial 16S ribosomal RNA
Rfam family: Archaeal small subunit ribosomal RNA
Source: RNAcentral